ACGAUGAAGCCCNNUCGGGGUGGAUUAGUGGCGAACGGGUGAGUAACACGUGGGCAAUCUGCCCUGCACUCUGGGACAAGCCCUGGAAACGGGGUCUAAUACCGGAUAUGACACGGGAUCGCAUGAUCUCGNGGGGAAAGCUCCGGCGGUGCANGAUGAACCCGCG
This 166-nucleotide ribosomal RNA is filed under the name Streptomyces sp. RNAcentral's name for it is "partial 16S ribosomal RNA". It matches the Rfam family "Bacterial small subunit ribosomal RNA", at positions 66 to 235 of the family's 1533-position model. Lineage: Bacteria; Bacillati; Actinomycetota; Actinomycetes; Kitasatosporales; Streptomycetaceae. The record is from RNAcentral.